This is a non-coding RNA of Gopherus flavomarginatus (Mexican gopher tortoise), 84 nucleotides long. NCBI's taxonomy places the organism in Eukaryota, Metazoa, Chordata, Testudines, Testudinidae. The record is from the annotation of a RefSeq genome assembly.
GCUGUGAUGGCCGAGUGGUUAAGGCAUUGGAGUUGAAAUCCAAUAAGGUUCCCUUGCGCAGGUUCAAAUCCUACUCUCAAUGCA